CGGACGGGUGAGUAACACGUGGGUAACCUGCCCGGAAGUGGGGAAUACCUCGGGGAAACUCGAGCUAAUACCGCAUAACAUCUUUGGGACGAAAGUUCCGACGAUCAAAGCGGGGUCGCAAGAUCUCGCGCUACCGGAUGGGCCCGCGCCCGAUUAGCUAGUUGGUGGGGUAACGGCUCACCAAGGCUUCGAUCGGUAACCGGCCUGAGAGGGCGAUCGGUCACACCGGAACUGAGACACGGUCCGG
Molecule: ribosomal RNA, 247 nt
Filed under: uncultured bacterium
Lineage: Bacteria
Description: partial 16S ribosomal RNA
Rfam family: Bacterial small subunit ribosomal RNA
Source: RNAcentral